Molecule: ribosomal RNA, 253 nt
Filed under: uncultured bacterium
Lineage: Bacteria
Description: partial 16S ribosomal RNA
Rfam family: Bacterial small subunit ribosomal RNA
Source: RNAcentral
UACGAAGGGGGCUAGCGUUGUUCGGAAUUACUGGGCGUAAAGCGUGCGCAGGCGGCUUCUCAAGUCAGGGGUGAAAGCCCAGAGCUCAACUCUGGAAUUGCCUUUGAGACUGAGUGGCUUGAGUACGGGAGAGGUGAGUGGAAUUCCCAGUGUAGAGGUGAAAUUCGUAGAUAUCGGGAGGAACACCGGUGGCGAAGGCGGCGACCUGGGUCGAUACUGACGCUGAGGUGCGAAAGCGUGGGGAGCAAACAGG